RNAcentral lists this ribosomal RNA (496 nucleotides) under Microdytes maculatus. RNAcentral describes it as "partial 16S ribosomal RNA". The stretch from base 373 to 496 matches the Rfam family "Bacterial large subunit ribosomal RNA", at positions 2473 to 2597 of the family's 2925-position model. Lineage: Eukaryota; Metazoa; Arthropoda; Insecta; Coleoptera; Dytiscidae. The record is from RNAcentral.
AGGUUAUAAUUUAAGGUUUAAUCUGCCCACUGAUAGUUUAAAUGGCCGCAGUAUUUUGACUGUGCAAAGGUAGCAUAAUCAUUAGUUUUUUAAUUGAAAGCUGGAAUGAAUGAUUGGACGAGAUAAAAUCUGUCUCUUAAUAAUAAUUAGAAUUUAAUUUUUAAGUUAAAAAGCUUAAAUUUUAAUAAAAGACGAGAAGACCCUAUAGAUUUUAAUUUAAUGAGUAUAUUAGAUUUGGGGAUUAAUUAGUUUAAUAUAUAAUUUUAAAUUUUAUUGGGGUAAUAGAAAGAUUUAUUUAAUUCUUUUUUAUUUUUAUAUUAAUUAGUAAGUAUAUGAUCCAUUAUAUUGAUUGAAAGAUUAAAUUACCUUAGGGAUAACAGCGUAAUUUUAUUGGAGAGUUCUUAUCAAUAAUGAAGUUUGCGACCUCGAUGUUGGAUUAAAAUUAAUUUUAAAUGCAGAAGUUUAGAGUUUUAGUCUGUUCGACUAUUAAAAUUUU